Molecule: long non-coding RNA, 384 nt
Organism: Culex quinquefasciatus (southern house mosquito)
Lineage: Eukaryota; Metazoa; Arthropoda; Insecta; Diptera; Culicidae
Exons: 2
Source: RefSeq, a predicted model, not a curated record
AGUUCGAGCUCUUUCAAGCAUCCUCCCAAACAAACUCAAGAUGUUCAAAUUCGUCAUCGUCGUCCUGGCCCUCAUCGCCUCUGCGCUGGCCGUUCCGAAACCGGUGCUACUGGCGGCCGCUCCCUCCUAUUCGUACACCGAGCGCAUUGAUAAGCCGGCACUGAGCUAUUACUCGGCACCCCUGCCCAGCUACUACCCUGCUGCCCCGGCACCGUACCUGCACACGCCACUGGCCUACAGUGCCCCCGUGGCAGCCUAUCCCGCUGGGUAUGCGCUGCUGUGAGGUGGGGAAGGAUAAAGACACGGGAUGGACAAAGGAAUUGAGAUUGGAAGACGUUCUGGAAUAUUUGUGAUGAUUUUGAAUAAACGGUGGUUCAAAAUGUA